AUGAGAUUUGUUUCUUUGGCGAGAGACUCAAUAAGUAAUAAUAAAAGUAGUAGUGAUCAUGGUGCUAAAAGAAGUGGUGAAUGUGAUGCUAAAAGUAGUGGUGAACAUGAUGCUAAAAGUAGAGGUGAGCAUGGGAAAAGUGAUAAGAACUGUGCUAAUAAUAAUAGACAUAAUCAAAACGUACAAAACAUAACAAGCACUGAUAAUAAUAGUUUAAAAAAAGAACAUAUCAAACCUCAACGAAUCAACAUCUGUAAUGAAGAAGAAUAUGGUUACAAUGUAUACUAUAAAGAAGUAAAACAAAUAACUGAAGUUCCUAAAUUUGAUGAUAUAAAUGUUUCUUUAAAGGAGCCAACUGUUGCCUGUGAUUUAUCAAAAUAUUACAGCUUAGUUUUGUGCCCACCUUUACCCAUAAGUAAUGUUUCUAUCCAUCCUAAUAGCAAUAAUGUACCAGAUAUGAUACAAGGUUAUACUAUAAAUGUAUGUAUAUAUUUACCUAUUGAAAAAAAUGUGUCAUUUUCAUCUUUAAUAUGUGGUGAUAAUGAUUGUCACGUUUGUAUAUUUAGUGACAAAUUGAUUCUAGGGUGUUUAGAAAAUUAUAACCAGUUUGAAAAUGGUCAAGAUAUACAUAAUGAUAAGAAUAGUAUUGAGGGUUGUAACAAAAACUAUAACAAAGACAUUGUUUGUAGUAAAAUACGAAAAAAAGAAAAACGGUAUCACUCGUGUGGUUAUAGUAUUAAAUUUUUAAAAAAAGGAUGGUAUUUUUUGAGUAUAGUUAGUACACCUAAUGGUAAUUUUUAUUUCAUAAAUGGGACACUUAAAGGGCAUCAUACAUAUUGCUCUACUGAUAGUAUAAAAUAUAUAGGUAAUAGUAGUCUAUUUACUAACCCUUUUACAAAUAUAUCAUUUGUUCAAAUAAUUAAUAAACCUUUAACUAUGAAUGAAGUAUUAUAUGAAUAUAACAUGUGUGUUUUAAAAAAUGAUGAUACUCUUGAAUAUUAUUAUUCUUAUUUGUAUUCAUUUUUACCACAAAUGAAUUGGUUUGAAUCGGGAAAGAAAAAUGGUGUAGUAGAUAGAGGGGAUGUUUGUAGUAACACGGGUAAUGUCGCUAACGAUGUCAUAAAAGAUGACGGUAAAGAAAAGGAACGAGAUGAGAGGGAAGAAGGGGCACGAGAUGAGGGUGAAGAAGAAACAAGUAGUGAAGAUAACGAAGGUACAAAUCAUGGAAGUACAUCCAUUUGCAACUAUCAGAAUAAAAUAAAAAAAAAGAACGAUUAUAUUCAUUUUGAAAUAACAAAAAAUUAUAAUGUUUAUAUUUACCCUCAUGAAAUAAAUAAAAAGUAUUAUUUUUGUACGUCAUUAAUAUCUAUGAUAAAUAAAAAAUUAUAUUAUUUUAAUAAAAUAACUAAACAAGUUAAUAAUUUAAACAUAUAUUUAGAUAGCUAUAUAACAUUAGCAUUAGAAUGGACAAUUUUCGCAGUAGCCAGAUUAUCAUAUGUAGAUGAAAUGAACUAUCAUUGUUUAGUUGGGGGUGUGAAUGGAACUGGUCAUAUUGUUGUAAAUGGUUCUGAUUUAUCAUUAGGUGUUUUUUUACCAAAACUUGAGUAUCAAAAUUCUGGAUGUCUGAGAGAGGAAUUUUAUGUAAGUUCACAAGAAGUUGAUGUUAGAAAAGAAAAAAAUAAAAGUGAAGUAAAUGAAUCAUUAUGGUUAGAUAAAAAUAACAAUGUUGAUGAAUUAAUUCGUGACGAGAUAAGCACCGUUUCCGUAAGAAACACUAAUAUAAAUAGUACGAAUCCACAUGAGGUAAUACAUAAAAAAGAUUAUGGAAAUUUUCAUUCUUGUGGUUAUAAAUUAAACAAAGAGUUAAACCAAACGAUUUUAAUAACAACAAGAUGUAAAAAAAAUGAGCAAAAAUUUUUUAUUAAUUCAUUUGAGGUUGGUGUAUGUCCAUCGUGUCCUAGUCCAAUAACAUGUAUAGGAAAUUGCUCGUCUAUUAAUAAUGAGUAUGUAUCUCCUUUUGGUAAUUAUCAAUUUGUUAAAAUUGUAUUUGAUAGUGUUAGUGAUGAUAAGAUAAAAGAAUUUUAUUACUCUCUUCAUUUAUGA
Long non-coding RNA from Piliocolobus tephrosceles (Ugandan red Colobus), 2103 nucleotides. The record is from Ensembl. NCBI's taxonomy places the organism in Eukaryota, Metazoa, Chordata, Mammalia, Primates, Cercopithecidae.